This 544-nucleotide ribosomal RNA is filed under the name Scombrolabrax heterolepis. RNAcentral's name for it is "partial 16S large subunit ribosomal RNA". It matches the Rfam family "Bacterial large subunit ribosomal RNA", at positions 1846 to 2586 of the family's 2925-position model. The record is from RNAcentral. Lineage: Eukaryota; Metazoa; Chordata; Actinopteri; Scombriformes; Scombrolabracidae.
UAAGAGGUCCAGCCUGCCCUGUGACUAUAAGUUUAACGGCCGCGGUAUUCUAACCGUGCGAAGGUAGCGCAAUCACUUGUCUUUUAAAUGAAGACCUGUAUGAAUGGAUCAACGAGGGCUUAACUGUCUCCUUCCUCAAGUCAAUGAAAUUGAUCUCCCCGUGCAGAAGCGGGGAUAAGCACAUAAGACGAGAAGACCCUAUGAAGCUUUAGACACCAAGGCAUGCCACGUUAAAACUCCCCCCACUAAAGGACCAAACUAAAUGGAUUAUGCCCCCUGUCUUUGGUUGGGGCGACCGCGGGGAAAUAAAAAACCCCCACGUGGAAUGGGAACACUACCUUCCCAGAACCAAGAGCUGCAGCUCUAAUAAACAGAAUUUCUGACCAAUUCAGAUCCGGCAAUGCCGAUCAACGGACCGAGUUACUCUAGGGAUAACAGCGCAAUCCCCUUUUAGAGCCCAUAUCGACAAGGGGGUUUACGACCUCGAUGUUGGAUCAGGACAUCCUAAUGGCGCAGCCGCUAUUAAGGGUUCGUUUGUUCAACG